AAAUUGAAGAGUUUGAUCAUGGCUCAGAUUGAACGCUGGCGGCAGGCCUAACACAUGCAAGUCGAGCGGUAGCACAGAAGAGCUUGCUCUUUGGGUGACGAGCGGCGGACGGGUGAGUAAUGUCUGGGAAACUGCCUGAUGGAGGGGGAUAACUACUGGAAACGGUAGCUAAUACCGCAUAACCUCGCAAGAGCAAAGAGGGGGACCUUCGGGCCUCUCGCCAUCAGAUGUGCCCAGAUGGGAUUAGCUAGUAGGUGAGGUAAUGGCUCACCUAGGCGACGAUCCCUAGCUGGUCUGAGAGGAUGACCAGCCACACUGGAACUGAGACACGGUCCAGACUCCUACGGGAGGCAGCAGUGGGGAAUAUUGCACAAUGGGCGCAAGCCUGAUGCAGCCAUGCCGCGUGUGUGAAGAAGGCCUUCGGGUUGUAAAGCACUUUCAGCGAGGAGGAAGGCGGUAAGGUUAAUAACCUUAUCGAUUGACGUUACUCGCAGAAGAAGCACCGGCUAACUCCGUGCCAGCAGCCGCGGUAAUACGGAGGGUGCAAGCGUUAAUCGGAAUGACUGGGCGUAAAGCGCACGCAGGCGGUCUGUUAAGUUGGAUGUGAAAUCCCCGGGCUUAACCUGGGAACUGCAUUCAAAACUGACAGGCUAGAGUCUUGUAGAGGGGGGUAGAAUUCCAGGUGUAGCGGUGAAAUGCGUAGAGAUCUGGAGGAAUACCGGUGGCGAAGGCGGCCCCCUGGACAAAGACUGACGCUCAGGUGCGAAAGCGUGGGGAGCAAACAGGAUUAGAUACCCUGGUAGUCCACGCUGUAAACGAUGUCGAUUUGGAGGUUGUGCCCUUGAGGCGUGGCUUCCGGAGCUAACGCGUUAAAUCGACCGCCUGGGGAGUACGGCCGCAAGGUUAAAACUCAAAUGAAUUGACGGGGGCCCGCACAAGCGGUGGAGCAUGUGGUUUAAUUCGAUGCAACGCGAAGAACCUUACCUACUCUUGACAUCCAGAGAAUUAGCUAGAGAUAGCUGAGUGCCUUCGGGAACUCUGAGACAGGUGCUGCAUGGCUGUCGUCAGCUCGUGUUGUGAAAUGUUGGGUUAAGUCCCGCAACGAGCGCAACCCUUAUCCUUUGUUGCCAGCGAUUCGGUCGGGAACUCAAAGGAGACUGCCGGUGAUAAACCGGAGGAAGGUGGGGAUGACGUCAAGUCAUCAUGGCCCUUACGAGUAGGGCUACACACGUGCUACAAUGGCGUAUACAAAGAGAAGCGACCUCGCGAGAGCAAGCGGACCUCAUAAAGUACGUCGUAGUCCGGAUUGGAGUCUGCAACUCGACUCCAUGAAGUCGGAAUCGCUAGUAAUCGUAGAUCAGAAUGCUACGGUGAAUACGUUCCCGGGCCUUGUACACACCGCCCGUCACACCAUGGGAGUGGGUUGCAAAAGAAGUAGGUAGCUUAACCUUCGGGAGGGCGCUUACCACUUUGUGAUUCAUGACUGGGGUGAAGUCGUAACAAGGUAACCGUAGGGGAACCUGCGGUUGGAUCACCUCCUUACC
RNAcentral lists this ribosomal RNA (1544 nucleotides) under Pectobacterium versatile. RNAcentral's name for it is "bacterial SSU rRNA". It matches the Rfam family "Bacterial small subunit ribosomal RNA". The record is from RNAcentral. Lineage: Bacteria; Pseudomonadati; Pseudomonadota; Gammaproteobacteria; Enterobacterales; Pectobacteriaceae.